GGGCCUAACACAUGCAAGUCGAGCGAGAAAGCACUUCGGUGUGAGUAGAGCGGCGGACGGGUGAGUAACGCGUAGGAAUCUACCUGGUAGUGGGGGACAACUCGGGGAAACUCGAGCUAAUACCGCAUACGCCCUUCGGGGGAAAGCGGGGGAUCUUCGGACCUCGCGCUAUUGGAUGAGCCUGCGUCGGAUUAGCUUGUUGGUGAGGUAAAGGCUCACCAAGGCGACGAUCCGUAGCUGGUCUGAGAGGAUGAUCAGCCACACUGGGACUGAGACACGGCCCAGACUCCUACGGGAGGCAGCAGUGGGGAAUAUUGCGCAAUGGGGGCAACCCUGACGCAGCCAUGCCGCGUGUGUGAAGAAGGCCCUAGGGUUGUAAAGCACUUUCAAUAGGGAGAAAAGGCUCACGGUUAAUACCCGUGAGAGUUGAUGUUACCUAUAGAAGAAGCACCGGCUAACUCCGUGCCAGCAGCCGCGGUAAUACGGAGGGUGCGAGCGUUAAUCGGAAUUACUGGGCGUAAAGCGCGCGUAGGCGGUCUGUUAAGUCAGCUGUGAAAGCCCCGGGCUUAACCUGGGAACUGCAGUUGAUACUGGCA
This 596-nucleotide ribosomal RNA is filed under the name uncultured bacterium. RNAcentral's name for it is "bacterial SSU rRNA". It matches the Rfam family "Bacterial small subunit ribosomal RNA", at positions 44 to 638 of the family's 1533-position model. The record is from RNAcentral.